CCUAGAGGCAUUGUAGGUGUGGCUGUUGCAUCACACAUGUGUCAGUAGG
RNAcentral lists this small nucleolar RNA (49 nucleotides) under Meriones unguiculatus (Mongolian gerbil). Its description in RNAcentral is "Small nucleolar RNA SNORA17 (ENSMUGG00000017900.1)". It matches the Rfam family "Small nucleolar RNA SNORA17", at positions 7 to 55 of the family's 132-position model. From Rfam's summary of the family: snoRNA ACA 17 belongs to the H/ACA family of snoRNAs and is predicted to guide pseudouridylation of the 28S rRNA at positions U4659 and U4598. It shares the same host gene together with ACA43. NB This family has a high threshold value to exclude a large number of closely related sequences that do not appear to have conserved H and ACA boxes, and may be pseudogenes. Lineage: Eukaryota; Metazoa; Chordata; Mammalia; Rodentia; Muridae. The record is from RNAcentral.